AUUGAACGCUGGCGGCAUGCCUUACACAUGCAAGUCGAACGGUAACAGGGAGCUUGCUCCGCUGACGAGUGGCGAACGGGUGAGUAAUGUAUCGGAACGUACCAUUCAGUGGGGGAUAACGUAGCGAAAGUUACGCUAAUACCGCAUAUUCUGUGCGCAGGAAAGCAGGGGAUCGCAAGACCUUGCGCUGAUUGAGCGGCCGAUAUCAGAUUAGCUAGUUGGUGAGGUAAGAGCUCACCAAGGCGACGAUCUGUAGCGGGUCUGAGAGGAUGAUCCGCCACACUGGAACUGAGACACGGUCCAGACUCCUAUGGGAGGCAGCAGUGGGGAAUUUUGGACAAUGGGGGCGAACCCUGAUCCAGCCAUGCCGCGUGCAGGAUGAAGGCC
This 387-nucleotide ribosomal RNA is filed under the name uncultured bacterium. RNAcentral's name for it is "bacterial SSU rRNA". It matches the Rfam family "Bacterial small subunit ribosomal RNA", at positions 30 to 416 of the family's 1533-position model. The record is from RNAcentral.